GAUGAACGCUGGCGGCGUGCCUAAUACAUGCAAGUCGAGCGAACGGACGAGAAGCUUGCUUCUCUGAUGUUAGCGGCGGACGGGUGAGUAACACGUGGAUAACCUACCUAUAAGACUGGGAUAACUUCGGGAAACCGGAGCUAAUACCGGAUAAUAUUUUGAACCGCAUGGUUCAAAAGUGAAAGACGGUCUUGCUGUCACUUAUAGAUGGAUCCGCGCUGCAUUAGCUAGUUGGUAAGGUAACGGCUUACCAAGGCAACGAUGCAUAGCCGACCUGAGAGGGUGAUCGGCCACACUGGAACUGAGACACGGUCCAGACUCCUACGGGAGGCAGCAGUAGGGAAUCUUCCGCCAUUGGCGAAAGCCUGACGGAGCAACGCCGCGUGAGUGAUGAAGGUCUUCGGAUCGUAAAACUCUGUUAAUAGGGAAGAACAUAAGUGUAAGUAACUGUGCACAUCUUGACGGUACCUAAUCAGAAAGCCACGGCUAACUUCGGG
Molecule: ribosomal RNA, 497 nt
Filed under: uncultured bacterium
Lineage: Bacteria
Description: partial 16S ribosomal RNA
Rfam family: Bacterial small subunit ribosomal RNA
Source: RNAcentral